AGAGAAUGAAGAGGAAAUGGCAGGAACAGGCUGCUAGAUCUGAGCAUGGAGCUUAUCCUCAGCCCUGGGGAACUGGUGCCAGUGGAUGAGACUGUCCAGUUGCAGGAAAACAAGCUCAGGGCUCCCACUGAUUCUACAUGAUGAGACGGGGUUUCGUCAUGUUGGCCAGGCUGGUCUCGAACUCCUGACCUCAAGUGAUCUGCCUGCCUCGGCCUCCCAAAGUGCUGGGAUUACAGGCGUGAGCCACUGUGCCUGGCCAAUUCACUUACAAAUUCAUGGACUAUUAUGAAGACAAGUUAAGAGAUUGUGUCCUCCAAACUCAUCAUUUUUCAGGUUUUACCAAAUGGGCUCCUGUUCUACAUUGUGUGAUCAUAGAUAUUUGUACUUCUUGGAUCAGCAAAAGAUGGGCAUUUACAGGAACCACCAUUGAGGCAAAUAAUGUCUGAUGUGGAGAGAAUACAAUGCCAAGUAUUGUAAUUGGUUUAUUUUUUGUUAUUUUUUAUAUAUUUUCUUAUAAGAAUAUAAGGCAAAAUGUGUCUCUAUAUUUAGUUGGAGAUGUGUAUACAGCAGUAAGACACAUACAUAGUUGCUGAUUCUACUCUUCAGAUAUCUGAGUGUCAUUUGUAAUCCUUCCCUUGGUCUACUGAGAGUGUUUUGUACUUUAAUAUAUUUAACGCAAUGUCGCCGUUUCACAGAUUUAUUUUAUUUUAAAAAGAUACACAGACUUCAGUAUAUUGUAGUAAACAAAAGUAGAAAAAUUAAGGCAGCAAUUGGAGAAAUAAUUACAUAUUCUUUCCCUGGGAUGUAAGCAUGCAAAAUACAUGAAGAUAUAUGCUUUUCAUUCGAAAUAAGGAAAAUAAAAGACUCUGCCUCAUGAUGCUCAUGAAAACAAUCAUUUUUUACUUUUUGGCAAUGGCUUUGGAGUGGAAGCACAUUACUGUCAUCUCCUGAAAGAAUUAAAUAUAAAGUGGAAACCCAGUGAAGAGGAAGAAAAUGCCAUAUAAAUUUCAAAUGAAGAUUUGGAACCAGAUUAUGAUGAACAAUGUUGCUAAACCUUGUGAUCUCUACCUUCUUUAGUCCCUCCUUGGGAAUAGCAUAACAGUGGACCCAGCCAUCUAGGAUUAUUUGAAGUAACUUUGGGUGGUACAGUUCAGAAGAAUCAACCCUAGAGAGCCUUAAAUAACAAUACCGAAAUGGGACAUAUUGCCAUUAAAUCUGUCCCUAACUUAAAAAUGUUUAACUAGAUGCUACAAAAAAAAAAAGUAAUACUUUGCUAAUACUUUCCAGAAAGAA
Molecule: long non-coding RNA, 1293 nt
Filed under: Homo sapiens (human)
Lineage: Eukaryota; Metazoa; Chordata; Mammalia; Primates; Hominidae
Description: novel transcript
Source: RNAcentral